UCCCAAACCCAAUGUGAACCAUACCAAACUGUUGCCUCGGCGGGGUCACGCCCCGGGUGCGUCGCAGCCCCGGAACCAGGCGCCCGCCGGAGGGACCAACCAAACUCUUUCUGUAGUCCCCUCGCGGACGUUAUUUCUUACAGCUCUGAGCAAAAAUUCAAAAUGAAUCAAAACUUUCAACAACGGAUCUCUUGGUUCUGGCAUCGAUGAAGAACGCAGCGAAAUGCGAUAAGUAAUGUGAAUUGCAGAAUUCAGUGAAUCAUCGAAUCUUUGAACGCACAUUGCGCCCGCCAGUAUUCUGGCGGGCAUGCCUGUCCGAGCGUCAUUUCAACCCUCGAACCCCUCCGGGGGUCCGGCGUUGGGGAUCGGGAACCCCUAAGACGGGAUCCCGGCCCCGAAAUACAGUGGCGGUCUCGCCGCAGCCUCUCAUGCGCAGUAGUUUGCACAACUCGCACCGGGAGCGCGGCGCGUCCACGUCCGUAAAACACCCAACUUCUGAAAUGU
Molecule: ribosomal RNA, 504 nt
Filed under: Trichoderma viride
Lineage: Eukaryota; Fungi; Ascomycota; Sordariomycetes; Hypocreales; Hypocreaceae
Description: eukaryotic LSU rRNA
Rfam family: 5.8S ribosomal RNA (bases 172-325)
Source: RNAcentral